This 660-nucleotide ribosomal RNA is filed under the name uncultured fungus. RNAcentral's name for it is "eukaryotic LSU rRNA". The stretch from base 207 to 360 matches the Rfam family "5.8S ribosomal RNA". The record is from RNAcentral. Lineage: Eukaryota; Fungi.
GGAAGUAAAAGUCGUAACAAGGUUUCCGUAGGUGAACCUGCGGAAGGAUCAUUCAUAAUAAGUGUUCUACUGCACUUUUUAAACAAGUACUCACCUUGUGUGCAAUGUUUGCUGUCAGGUUCGUUUGUUCGUCUUGACAGCAUAAUACCAACCUUUAUUUUAAAUAUUUUUGUCUGAAGCUAUUUUGAAUAUAUAAUUCUAAAUACAACUUUCAACAACGGAUCUCUUGGCUCUCGCAUCGAUGAAGAACGCAGCGAAAUGCGAUACGUAAUGUGAAUUGCAGAAUUCAGUGAAUCAUCGAAUCUUUGAACGCACAUUGCACUCUCUGGUAUUCCGGAGAGUAUGCUUGUUUGAGUAUCUGUAAACAUCUCAAAUCUCUCUUCGCUUGCGUCGAGAGAAUUGGAUUUGAGCGAUCCCAACUCCUUCAUCAGAAAGAGGAGGGUCGCUUGAAAUGCAGGUGCAGCUGGACAUUCUUCUGAGCUAAAAGCAUAUCUAUUUAGUCCCGUCAAACGGAUUAUUACUUUUGCUUCAGCUAAUAUAAAGGUUGAAUGAACUACCAAUGCUGAUUGCAGGGAAACUCGUUUGUAACAGAACUUGUAAACUCGAUCUCAAAUCAAGUAAGACUACCCGCUGAACUUAAGCAUAUCAAUAAGCGGAGGA